GGAUUAGAUACCCUGGUAGUCCACGCCGUAAACGAUGGAUACUAGCUGUUUGGAACUUGUUCUGAGUGGCUAAGCGAAAGUGAUAAGUAUCCCACCUGGGGAGUACGUUCGCAAGAAUGAAACUCAAAGGAAUUGACGGGGGCCCGCACAAGCGGUGGAGCAUGUGGUUUAAUUCGAUGAUACGCGAGGAACCUUACCAGGGCUUAAAUGUAGGUUGCAUGAUUUAGAGAUAGAUCUUUCUUCGGACUACCUACAAGGUGCUGCAUGGUUGUCGUCAGCUCGUGCCG
This 287-nucleotide ribosomal RNA is filed under the name uncultured bacterium. RNAcentral's name for it is "partial 16S ribosomal RNA". It matches the Rfam family "Bacterial small subunit ribosomal RNA", at positions 775 to 1067 of the family's 1533-position model. The record is from RNAcentral.